CAAUGCAAGAGUGUCGCUCACUGACUGCUGGGUUCUACUUACACUUUUUCCAAACAUCACUCAUCUCAUCCUCUUUAGGGUCUGCUUCAGCAAAACAUAAGACAGCUUCCAGAAAAACAUCACAAGACACAACUGAGUCUCCAAAGAAACCAGAAAUUCCCACUUCAAAUCCUCUUUGGAAAUUGAGUUAUUGCAGUUUUAAUUAGUUAAGAUGAGGCCAUUUAGGGCAACUUGAAGCCACUGUGGCUGUUGUCUUUACUUUUGAUCACUGAAAGAGUGAGAAUAUCGUAUGCAGCUUCCUACCACUAAUGUGCAUUGGCCAUGCUCUGUGAACAGUGCCAUGGGCUGAAUUCUUCACAUCCAUCUUUUCUACUUCAUCCCACACAGCCUGACUGGAAGAAACAGAUCAGACUGGUGACCGGAAGACAGCGAGUGAUCCGCUGAAAACCCCCAGACUGAAAACUCUUUGUAUAGAACACACGCUUUCCAUGAACGUCCUGGGAGAACCUGCUCAUCGUUUUGGGUAGAAGUGUCGCUAUUCCAUCCCUACCUUCUGUGCUCAGAAGAGCCACAGGGUCAUCUUCUCAGACCGCUGCUCCAAAUGGUCCCUCCCGACUUCUGCCAUAGCUGGAGAGCCCCAUUCUCAGCCCAGCUCCUCCUUGCAGCGCACCCUUAAUGACUGUGAACAUCCGUUCCUGGACCUUGGCUCCAACAAUUUUCUCAUUACUGUAAGACACAAAAACAAACAAAAAGUCCCCCAAACCCUCUGUCAGCAUCUUCUUCCCUGGCAUCACUAAUGUGCCUUGGCCCCAGAACAUCGGACCUUCCACCCAGGUGCCCAAACUUCUCCCCACAAAUAAAUCAGGAAACUCUACAGAAGACACAGCUAUUAGUCAUUCUCUCCCUCUGUAUAAUCAAUCUGCCCAUGCUUUUGUUUUAAAAUCUAUCCCUGAGGGAAAAAUUGAACUAAUUUUAAGCAGACUUUUUAAUGAAAAAGAAAAAAAAACCCACAUACACACAAGAGCAAAGGGCAGGAAUUUAAAUUACAUGAGAUGAUGAAUUCUUUCCAGAUGAUACAGUUCUUUGAUAGCACUAGCUUGUCCUGAAAUUUUUCAUUUGCAAUUAUAUAUGUGCUGCUUUUUAAAAUGGCUUUGUAUUCAGGAGAUAAUGUUUCCAAAUAGACUCACGGGGUUUUAAAGGACUUAUAGUGGAAAUGGAAAUCAAACAAAAAUAUUUCCCCCAAAUCCAAGCUACCAGGGUCCUAAUCCGGCCUGUGAGACUCGACCUACCAUCCGGCAUUCCUGAGAGACUGGACUUACCAUCCAGCAUGCCUGA
Long non-coding RNA from Mastomys coucha (southern multimammate mouse), 1335 nucleotides. RefSeq lists it as uncharacterized. Lineage: Eukaryota; Metazoa; Chordata; Mammalia; Rodentia; Muridae. The transcript has 3 exons. The record is from RefSeq and is a predicted model, not a curated record.